CCCAGCGGUGAUAGCACGUUGAAUGCACCAGUUCUCGAUGAAUAACUGAAGUUAAGCAACGUUGCGUCUGGUUAGUACCUGGAUGGGUGACCAUCUGAGGAAUCACGUGCUGCUGUCU
Molecule: ribosomal RNA, 118 nt
Filed under: Diaphorina citri (Asian citrus psyllid)
Lineage: Eukaryota; Metazoa; Arthropoda; Insecta; Hemiptera; Psyllidae
Source: RNAcentral